ACUAUUGAAUUUAAGUAUAUUAGUCAGCAGAGGGAAAAAAAACUAACCAGGAUUCCCUCAGUAAUGGCGAGUGAACAGGGA
RNAcentral lists this non-coding RNA (81 nucleotides) under Alligator mississippiensis (American alligator). RNAcentral's name for it is "Eukaryotic large subunit ribosomal RNA". It matches the Rfam family "Eukaryotic large subunit ribosomal RNA", at positions 24 to 103 of the family's 3401-position model. The record is from Rfam by way of RNAcentral. Lineage: Eukaryota; Metazoa; Chordata; Crocodylia; Alligatoridae.